GAAGAAGACAUUUUUCAACUAAGCCAAGAGUUCCCGGAACUCCUCGGGGCCAGCGUGGCCCCUCCCCACAUGCCAGCUGGCGCAGCCCUGGCUCUUUCUCCCGCUCGAAAGUCGGGCAGAGGAAAGAGGCAGUUCGGCCUCGAUUCCGGGCUGCCUCUCCUGCAGGGAAGACAGGCCGAGAGCGGGGACGAGCUCCUGCUCCGGCUCUCUCCCCCCCACCCCCGCUCGGGCGGAGGAAAGAGGUGCGGGAAGUUUGAGGGGGGGCGUUUGCAUAGAGCACUGGGGGACCUCCCCCACUGGUGGGGGGGCGGAGCCUGCUGCCCUUCCAGACUUUGCCGGGGUCUCCAGAGGCUCGGAAGUCCUCGGCAAAGGUGAUAGUGAUGUCAUUGUGACGUCACCGUCGCGCCCGCUAAAAUGCCCCCCUUCCCAGGAUCAUAGUCCGGCUUAGGACCUGCUUAGCACCGGGCCUGCUUGAAGUGGGAGUUUGUUAGCUUGGCGGCCGGCUCCUCCGGUGUUCUCCCGGCGCUUGGGGCAGCUCUCCGUUAACCCUAUGCCACAGUGGGUCUCUGUUGCUGUAUGCUUCAAUCUUACCCCUUUAAACAGCAGCUGCACUACUCAUAUUUCAGCUGUUUCCAUGUACUCGCUGUGCCAAUUGUCACGAUCCUUGGAAUGUGAACAUGCUGGGAAGUUUAACUGGCCAGUUUUUCAGUGACUUUGCUGUGUGACCCUAUGGAUGCAAGCACAGAUGUUGGAUUGUUACUUGUAAUCAACUUUACUGAGAAAUCUAUUGUUCGGAAUUCUUGGAUUGCUGGGAAGUGGGGGAAAGAGGAAAAGACAAUUCCCUACUUCCCAUUUACAGCAGGGGACUCAUUUAAGAUAAGAUGGAGCUGUUGUGUGAGCAUCAGCAGAUUCGGAUCCUGCUUGAUGGGUGUCAGCUCUGUGAUUUCACUCAUCGCGUGGUACCUAUGCGAAGGGUGACAAACUUGCAGCUAUUAGGAGAUCUCAAGCUUACCAAAGUAGCUUGAAAAAAAAUAAAGAACCCUCAUGCCAUUAUGGUAAACACA
Molecule: long non-coding RNA, 1064 nt
Organism: Heteronotia binoei (common prickly gecko)
Lineage: Eukaryota; Metazoa; Chordata; Lepidosauria; Squamata; Gekkonidae
Exons: 3
Source: RefSeq, a predicted model, not a curated record